Molecule: long non-coding RNA, 212 nt
Organism: Lolium rigidum
Lineage: Eukaryota; Viridiplantae; Streptophyta; Magnoliopsida; Poales; Poaceae
Exons: 4
Source: RefSeq, a predicted model, not a curated record
GACCUGCGCCUGCCGGCCACCAUUCAGUACAGCUGUAGCCCAUCACAUCCCCAACCUACUGCUCCCGGAGCCGGUCAUUUGAGUAUGGAGAGACGACGGCUUGAGAUGAACUCAAGAACUUGCUCUUUGAAAGCGGCAAUGUCAAGAAAUUGAAGGCACUAUUUGGCUCACCCAUGAGAAGCGCAAAAUAUAAUACAUGGAGGUAUUAGGCU